UACGUAGGUGGCAAGCGUUGUCCGGAUUUACUGGGCGUAAAGAGCGCGCAGGCGGUUCAUCAAGUCGAAUGUGAAAGCCCACGGCUCAACCGUGGAGGGUCAUUGGAAACUGGGAGACUUGAGUGCAGAAGAGAAGAGUGGAAUUCCACGUGUAGCGGUGAAAUGCGUAGAGAUGUGGAGGAACACCAGUGGCGAAGGCGGCUUUCUGGUCUGUAACUGACGCUGAGGCGCGAAAGCGUGGGGAGCAAACAGG
Molecule: ribosomal RNA, 253 nt
Filed under: uncultured bacterium
Lineage: Bacteria
Description: partial 16S ribosomal RNA
Rfam family: Bacterial small subunit ribosomal RNA
Source: RNAcentral